This 255-nucleotide ribosomal RNA is filed under the name uncultured bacterium. RNAcentral's name for it is "partial 16S ribosomal RNA". It matches the Rfam family "Bacterial small subunit ribosomal RNA", at positions 524 to 777 of the family's 1533-position model. The record is from RNAcentral.
GACAGAGGCCUCAAGCGUUAGGCGGAAUCACUGGGCUUAAAGCGUGUGUAGGCGGAUCGUUAAGUGUCUUGUGAAAUCCCACGGCUCACCCGUGGAACGGCUGGGCAUACUGGCGAUCUUGGGCCAACUAGGGGGCAACUGGAACAGGCGGUGGAGCGGUGAAAUGCGUAGAUAUCGCUUGGAACGCCGAAGGUGAAAACAGGUUGCUGGGGUUGUGCCGACGCUGAGACACGAAAGCCAGGGGAGCAAACGGGG